Long non-coding RNA from Gymnodraco acuticeps, 2426 nucleotides. RefSeq lists it as uncharacterized. The record is from RefSeq and is a predicted model, not a curated record. The transcript has 3 exons. Lineage: Eukaryota; Metazoa; Chordata; Actinopteri; Perciformes; Bathydraconidae.
UGAGAGACGAGCACUGAGAGCAGCACUGAAGAAGAAGCAGCUUUUCUCCAUGUUUCAAAGUGUUUAUUAGUUUUUAUGCUUACAGUCAACAACAAAUUAAGUGAAAAACAAGAGAAGCGGCAUAGUAUCAACUCUUAACACGUGAUAGUUACAAGCAAUCGGAUAUUUAGGAUUGGAUACAUUUGUUUUUUAUAUAUGCUUUUCUUAUAAUAAACUCUCUUAAACUUCUACGCCUCCAAACGUUGCUUUGUAAAGCGAAUGCGCGCGAUAUCAAACAGAGAAGACUGUUAGUGCAAUAAAGGCUCCGUGCAUCGAGUUCUCUAAAACAACACUCACUAAAACUGAAGUCUUUGGAAACUAAGUUCCUUAGCAGCUUUGAAAUAUGUGAUUUGCUAUACGUCACAAAAUCAACAGGUAGGAGAGGAAUUUACACGGGUACAAUUUAACUCUUGUGUGCUAACUUCAUAGCACUAAUCUAAAAGUGGAAAACUAAGGAAGGAAAAGUACUUGGACACAUCAGGAAUAAGCAAAAAGCAUAUGGCUAACAUGAUUGUAAGAAGAGCUAUUCCUAUUACUUCACACUCUCCAUCGUCUCCACUGUCUACAUGGUUAUUACUGUAUAUGUUCUGCACUGAAAGGAAGCAGUAAAGAACUUGCCCAGUAUUUGUGCCACUGGUUACACACACAGAGAAAAAGUGAAGCUGACGUCUCAGUGAGAGGCGAGGCUGGAAUCUUGCAUGCUCACGCUUACAUUUCAGUGUGCAGAAACAUGGCUGAGCUGCAGGAACUCACGGAGAAAACACAGCUCUCCAAUCAAGUGUGUGAACGUCUGUGCAGCUGCUCAGAUGACCUCUGCAGGGACACACACAAAAACAUUAUUUUCAAAGUUUCAGAGCAGCUUAAGAGAUAAGAACAUGUAUGAUCCAUGUUGAGACUUUCCAUUAGGGGGACAUGCAGGGAAAGGAGAGGCUGUCCACACACCAUGGAGCUUUAUUACUUUGAACACUGUCAGGUGUUGUGUGACGAAGACUUGGUAAGAUAACAUUUCGCAUUAAUAAUAACUUGGAAGAAAACGUACUGAUAUUUUGUGUCUUGUUUUGUCCCUAUUUUAGUCGUUUGGCAUCUAUUUUUGGUAAUUUAGCAAUUUCUCUCCUUAGACUUUGUGUCUCUUUGAGGUUAAAACGUACUCGUUCAUUUGACAAGAGUUGUUAACUACGGAAGAGCAUAAGGGUCACGUGUGAAUAUGUUGGUACGAUCUGACCAAUAGUGAACUUUUUGUAUUAGUUCUGCGAUUAAAGUCUUAUAAAAAUGAAAUCACAUGUUGCCCUAAUCCUCUAAUUAAUGAUGGUGUUGAAACAAAUGGACAACUGUUUGAAUCAAGUCGUUAGCGGACCGGUUGAGAUGCAAUGUGGAUGGAAUGAAUCUGCCGUGACGCUGUCAUUUACUCUCAAUAAACCCUUGUUCAAGUUGGACAUGUCCCUGGGGGUCUUCACUAAGUGUUAUGGAGUCAGAACCAAAAUACCCGGCAGACUGCAAGUGUCCUAGGAUCUUGGUACAUUGGAUUCACUGACAUUACAUGCUUAUAGCCUAACGUUAGCCUUUUACUUCAAAAAUCAUAAAGAUGUGGAGAUCAUCCUGCUGAACAGAACAUGUCAGUAUCAUAAACAUGCUUAUUUUAAGAAACAUUCCUAAAUUAAAUGGAAAAAUCUCAUUGCUUUUUGUAGAGGUAGCCCUUGCGACGCUUACUUCUGGGUCAGCCUACUAAAAUACGUCAUGCCUGCCCCACUCUACAGUGUUUCUGUCUCUUUAGUGGACAUAUUCCUCGCCUCUCUGCCUCCUCUCUCUGCAGGUGCUCCUGCUCCUCUCUCUCUCGUUGUUGCCUCGCCUCUCUCUCUCGUUGUUGCCUCGCCUCUCUCCUCCUCUCAGCCAGGAGACGAGAGGCCUGCCCGGCAUCUGUGGUCCCGGCUGAGGGUCGACACGUGACUUCAGGAGGCUGGGGAUCUGCAGGGAGAGGCUUUUGAGGAGGACCUGAAGAGAGAAUAAUAUCACCUUUUAUUCUCCUUCCAUUGGAAUGAAGAUAUAACGAAGUGAGUUUUUGUUUGUGUCUCUGAGCUGCAACCACAGCUUCUGUUCGAGCUGCCUGCAGACAUUCUGGGAACAAAAUACCUGGACAAAGUCACCAUCCUGAACUGAAUACCAAAGGACAUUUCCCUCUGAAAGACAUCCUGACUCCAUCUGCUGGUGAAUAAAUGACAUAGCAGCAUUUCCUGAUGUUGAUCAUUCACCCUGUGACGGAGGUGAGAGAAAACAAAAGUGGAUUUAGACAUUGUUGAACAGCGCUGAGACGCCAUCACAGGGUGUGAGAUUUCUGCUCGGAGACACGUUUGGAGUAUAUGUGGGGAGAAGUGGAGAGACUGUAAGUUGGU